This 252-nucleotide long non-coding RNA is filed under the name Setaria viridis. Its description in RNAcentral is "long non-coding RNA (SVIR_LNC007265)". The record is from RNAcentral. Lineage: Eukaryota; Viridiplantae; Streptophyta; Magnoliopsida; Poales; Poaceae.
UCGUGUCCCAAUCUAUCUCUAGGAAUUUUCCUAGAAUUUUUAAGAUUUCCAGAGUAUUUUUCAUGGCUUAAAUAAAUUUUCUAGAUUUUGUGGAUUUUUAUUUAUAUAGAAAAUUAAUUCUGAAAAAAGGAAACCUAUCCUACCAGUUUGGGCCGAGCCUGUGGGCUUGACCCGCGUUGGCCCAUCCAGCCCGCCGGGGCCCAUCGGACGCCGAAGCCGCCGCCGCUGAACCUCGACGUGCGCAGUCGCAGG